RNAcentral lists this ribosomal RNA (274 nucleotides) under uncultured bacterium. Its description in RNAcentral is "partial 16S ribosomal RNA". It matches the Rfam family "Bacterial small subunit ribosomal RNA", at positions 523 to 796 of the family's 1533-position model. The record is from RNAcentral.
AUACGGAGGGGGUUAGCGUUGUUCGGAAUUACUGGGCGUAAAGCGCGCGUAGGCGGAUUGGUAAGUUAGAGGUGAAAUCCCGGGGCUCAACCCCGGAACUGCCUUUGAUACUGCCAGUCUUGAGUUCGAGAGAGGUGAGUGGAAUUCCGAGUGUAGAGGUGAAAUUCGUAGAUAUUCGGAGGAACACCAGUGGCGAAGGCGGCUCACUGGCUCGAUACUGACGCUGAGGUGCGAAAGCGUGGGGAGCAAACAGAAUUAGAUACCCUAGUAGUCC